RNAcentral lists this ribosomal RNA (1156 nucleotides) under uncultured bacterium. RNAcentral describes it as "bacterial SSU rRNA". It matches the Rfam family "Bacterial small subunit ribosomal RNA", at positions 336 to 1504 of the family's 1533-position model. The record is from RNAcentral.
CUCCUACGGGAGGCAGCAGUGGGGAAUAUUGCACAAUGGGCGCAAGCCUGAUGCAGCAACGCCGCGUGAGGGACGACGGCCUUCGGGUUGUAAACCUCUUUUAGUAGGGAAGAAGCGAAAGUGACGGUACCUGCAGAAAAAGCACCGGCUAACUACGUGCCAGCAGCCGCGGUAAUACGUAGGGUGCAAGCGUUAUCCGGAAUUAUUGGGCGUAAAGAGCUCGUAGGCGGUUUGUCGCGUCUGCUGUGAAAACUGGAGGCUCAACCUCCAGCCUGCAGUGGGUACGGGCAAACUAGAGUGCGGUAGGGGAGAUUGGAAUUCCUGGUGUAGCGGUGGAAUGCGCAGAUAUCAGGAGGAACACCGAUGGCGAAGGCAGAUCUCUGGGCCGUAACUGACGCUGAGGAGCGAAAGCAUGGGGAGCGAACAGGAUUAGAUACCCUGGUAGUCCAUGCCGUAAACGUUGGGCGCUAGAUGUGGGGACCAUUCCACGGUUUCCGUGUCGCAGCUAACGCAUUAAGCGCCCCGCCUGGGGAGUACGGCCGCAAGGCUAAAACUCAAAGGAAUUGACGGGGGCCCGCACAAGCGGCGGAGCAUGCGGAUUAAUUCGAUGCAACGCGAAGAACCUUACCAAGGCUUGACAUAUACCUGAAAAGGCUGGAAACAGUCUCCCCGCAAGGCAGGUAUACAGGUGGUGCAUGGUUGUCGUCAGCUCGUGUCGUGAGAUGUUGGGUUAAGUCCCGCAACGAGCGCAACCCUCGUUCUAUGUUGCCAGCGCGUUAUGGCGGGAACUCAUAGGAGACUGCCGGGGUCAACUCGGAGGAAGGUGGGGAUGACGUCAAAUCAUCAUGCCCCUUAUGUCUUGGGCUUCACGCAUGCUACAAUGGCCGGUACAAAGGGCUGCAAUACCGUAAGGUGGAGCGAAUCCCAAAAAGCCGGUCUCAGUUCGGAUUGAGGUCUGCAACUCGACCUCAUGAAGUCGGAGUCGCUAGUAAUCGUGGAUCAGCAACGCCACGGUGAAUACGUUCCCGGGCCUUGUACACACCGCCCGUCAAGUCAUGAAAGUCGGUAACACCCGAAGCCAGUGGCCCAACCGCAAGGAGGGAGCUGUCGAAGGUGGGAUCGGUGAUUAGGACUAAGUCGUAACAAGGUAACCGUA